UAGCAAUACCAAUAAAACCACUCCACAUAGGUAAUUAGUCCAUGUAUUUGAACUAAGAAUGUUCUAGAUACUUCACAAAAAGCUGUCCACAUUUUACACUGUUUUCUGUAUCUCUGAAGAACACCAUGAAAUGAGAGUUAUCGAUGUUUCGGUUUAUAAGUGAGACAAAACACAGCAGGUCACAUUGAGCCACUGUUGAAAAACUAUCUGGUGGUCUUAUUUUAACUAAAUUUAGUAGGUCAAAAUUUCUGAAUUUAUAGUAAGCCAGAAGACUGGUGUUUGCUUGGCUGACUCAAGAACUGAACCGUACAGAAAUGAACAAUCAGGUCUUCAACACUGGGAUGCAAUUUCAGGAUAGUGAUCAUCUAUAGUGGGCUCAAAAGCCAAAUGAGAAGAAGGCAUUUGUGUGUUGCAACCGGGAUAGUAAUGUUCACCUAGCCCCGGAUGAGUCUGUGUGUGUUUUGUGUUUUCUGGACAUCCCAGGAUGCUGUGGUGAAACCCAGCCAACAGGAAUCACAGAAUGGCUUCAUAGAUCAUUUUAUAAAAUCGGCUCUCCCGGCAGAUUUACUUCAAGAUGGGAAAAGUGUCUUAUUUUCAACAUGGUCAUUUGUAUCUACAGCACUCUAUUCUGUUAAACAGCCU
This 642-nucleotide long non-coding RNA is filed under the name Mus spicilegus (steppe mouse). RNAcentral's name for it is "lncRNA (ENSMSIG00000004172.1)". The record is from RNAcentral. Lineage: Eukaryota; Metazoa; Chordata; Mammalia; Rodentia; Muridae.